Molecule: ribosomal RNA, 301 nt
Filed under: uncultured bacterium
Lineage: Bacteria
Description: partial 16S ribosomal RNA
Rfam family: Bacterial small subunit ribosomal RNA
Source: RNAcentral
CAGCCGCCGCGGUAGUACGGAGGGGGCUAGCGUUGUUCGGAAUUACUGGGCGUAAAGCGCACGUAGGCGGCUUGGUAAGUUAGAGGUGAAAGCCCGGAGCUCAACUCCGGAAUUGCCUUUAAGACUGCCGAGCUAGUAGGUGAGAGAGGUAAGUGGAAUUCCGAGUGUAGAGGUGAAAUUCGUAGAUAUUCGGAAGAACACCAGUGGCGAAGGCGGCUUACUGGCUCAUUCUAGAUGCUGAGGUGCGAAAGCGUGGGGAGCAAACAGGAUUAGAUACCCCAGUAGUCCCUGUCUCUUAUAC